This is a non-coding RNA of Caenorhabditis elegans, 150 nucleotides long. The record is from Ensembl. NCBI's taxonomy places the organism in Eukaryota, Metazoa, Nematoda, Chromadorea, Rhabditida, Rhabditidae.
CCACACUACAUCUUUUCAAACAUUUUUCUUUCAUAUUCUCUCUCAUACAAAUUUGAUGGGUGGGUGGAGUAUUUUUUAUGGACCGAAGGAUGGAUCUAAAUUCAAUUUCCAAAUUUUUCGCCUCUAUCUGACAUAUAAAGCUUAUAGCUU